ACGGAGGGAGCUAGCGUUGUUCGGAAUUACUGGGCGUAAAGAGCGCGUAGGCGGUUUAUCAAGUUGGGAGUGAAAUCCCAGGGCUCAACCCUGGAACUGCUCUCAAAACUGGUAGACUAGAGUUUGGUAGAGGAUGGUGGAAUUCCUAGUGUAGAGGUGAAAUUCGUAGAUAUUAGGAGGAACACCGGUGGCGAAGGCGGCCAUCUGGGCCAAUACUGACGCUGAGGCGCGAAAGCGUGGGGAGCAAACAGG
This 252-nucleotide ribosomal RNA is filed under the name uncultured bacterium. RNAcentral's name for it is "partial 16S ribosomal RNA". It matches the Rfam family "Bacterial small subunit ribosomal RNA", at positions 525 to 776 of the family's 1533-position model. The record is from RNAcentral.